Molecule: small RNA, 1892 nt
Filed under: Pongo abelii (Sumatran orangutan)
Lineage: Eukaryota; Metazoa; Chordata; Mammalia; Primates; Hominidae
Description: retained intron
Source: RNAcentral
GGCGCUCGGUCCGGUCGCGUCCGACACCCGGUGGGACUCAGAAGGCAGUGGAGCCCCGGCGGCGGCGGCGGCGGCGCGCGGGGGCGACGCGCGGGAACAACGCGAGCCGGCGCGCGGGACGAAGAAUAAUCAUGGGCCAGACUGGGAAGAAAUCUGAGAAGGGACCAGUUUGUUGGCGGAAGCGUGUAAAAUCAGAGUACAUGCGACUGAGACAGCUCAAGAGGUUCAGACGGGCUGAUGAAGUAAAGAGUAUGUUUAGUUCCAAUCGUCAGAAAAUUUUGGAAAGAACGGAAAUCUUAAACCAAGAAUGGAAACAGCGAAGGAUACAGCCUGUGCACAUCCUGACUUCUGUGAGCUCAUUGCGCGGGACUAGGGAGUGUUCGGUGACCAGUGACUUGGAUUUUCCAACACAAGUCAUCCCAUUAAAGACUCUGAAUGCAGUUGCUUCAGUGCCCAUAAUGUAUUCUUGGUCUCCCCUACAGCAGAAUUUUAUGGUGGAAGAUGAAACUGUUUUACAUAACAUUCCUUAUAUGGGAGAUGAAGUUUUAGACCAGGAUGGUACUUUCAUUGAAGAACUAAUAAAAAAUUAUGAUGGAAAAGUACAUGGGGAUAGAGAAUGUGGGUUUAUAAAUGAUGAAAUUUUUGUGGAGUUGGUGAAUGCCCUUGGUCAAUAUAAUGAUGAUGACGAUGACGAUGAUGGAGACGAUCCUGAAGAAAGAGAAGAAAAGCAGAAAGAUCUGGAGGAUCACCGAGAUGAUAAAGAAAGCCGCCCACCUCGGAAAUUUCCUUCUGAUAAAAUUUUUGAAGCCAUUUCCUCAAUGUUUCCAGAUAAGGGCACAGCAGAAGAACUAAAGGAAAAAUAUAAAGAACUCACCGAACAGCAGCUCCCAGGCGCACUUCCUCCUGAAUGUACCCCCAACAUAGAUGGACCAAACGCUAAAUCUGUUCAGAGAGAGCAAAGCUUACACUCCUUUCAUACGCUUUUCUGUAGGCGAUGUUUUAAAUAUGACUGCUUCCUACAUCCCUUUCAUGCAACACCCAACACUUAUAAGCGGAAGAACACAGAAACAGCUCUAGACAACAAACCUUGUGGACCACAGUGUUACCAGCAUUUGGAGGGAGCAAAGGAGUUCGCUGCUGCUCUCACCGCUGAGCGGAUAAAGACCCCACCAAAACGCCCAGGAGGCCGCAGAAGAGGACGGCUUCCCAAUAACAGUAGCAGGCCCAGCACCCCCACCAUUAAUGUGCUGGAAUCAAAGGAUACAGACAGUGAUAGGGAAGCAGGGACUGAAACGGGGGGAGAGAACAAUGAUAAAGAAGAAGAAGAGAAGAAAGAUGAAACUUCGAGCUCCUCUGGUAAGACACGUCUAAUAACUGGGUUUUACUGUUCUGCGAAAGUUCAUAUUGUGAGGAUUAAGGAUGUAUAAUGCAUUGAAUAAUUUUCUUAAAGUUGGUUAGUUUCAGUAUAAAGACCAGAGUCUAAGACCAGAGUUAUCUCAAGAAUGUGUAGCUGUGUUGUUUCUGUUUCCUGCCUCCACCCCUACCUUAGCUUGUGGUGUUUGCCCUGCUUAGUUGUGUGAAAGUUGAUGAUGCACUUUAUUCUCAUUCUUUGUGCCAUUUUCCUUUUUCGAUCUUUCUCAGGUAGGGAAUAAUGAAAUUUGGAUCAUUUGGUUUAAUAUUCUUGAUGUUCUAUGAGUAGUUUUGUUGGAAAAUGUGAACUACUGAUGAGUUAGUAUUUUACCGAUUGGAUUUUAGUUGUCCUUACCUUUUUGCUUUUUUCUUAAGCACACCCUGAAUUUUACUUCUUAAUAUUAUUUCCAAUCAUUUCUUGACCAGUGCUUACAUUUGGUUUUGUAGAAGCAAAUUCUCGGUGUCAAACACCAAUAAAGAUG